UUCCCCCAUUUUAAAUAAUCAAGGAAAGUGAAUUGCCUUUUGAGGUGAAUUCUGUAUGUCUUUGUAUACAUUUGAUGGGUCAUGGAUGAUAUUGGUAAGAAUCCACAUACAUGUAUAGGGAAACAGCAGUAAGUUGGUUUAUAGCAUCUUGCCUCGGUAUUUCAAGCCGCAAGGGCUUUCACCUAGCUAUGUGCUUGAAAGAAUAUAAAAAUAUGGCAUUACAAAAGACUCAGUGAAUUUUGUUUUAUAUUGUUUUUAGGAAUUUGACCCAGAGGCAGCGUGAAUUGAUUGAGGAGUUCUCAAAAGAAGAGCAUGGAGAAGAUGAUAAAAGGGAUGAGAAAAGGAAUGCAGCUGGCGCAUCAGGUUAACAAAGCUUUAUAUAUCUUGCUCUGCUUCAUUAUACUACCUAGCCGAAGCAGAAGUAAAAGCAAUUUUUUGGGGAUAUCGGAAGCAAAUAUAUUCCUCACACCCAACAUGGAGAGUUUUGUAGGAGUAAGAUUCAUGCAUUGUACCCUUUUCCUUCUGUUCUGAGAGGUAUGUGUAAUGACUUUUAUUAAUCAAAAGAUAAUUUAUAUAAAUUGCUAGUACCGGAGAAUGGCAAGUCUUAUAUAAUAGGUGAUUCUGUACAUAAACUAGUGUUAAGCUUUAUUGUAACACGAAUAACUGAGGUCACAUUUAAGGACUCAAUGCCAUUCCUUUCUAUUACGGUAAGCCAUUGGUCUGUUUGUUCUAUCAGAAUACCAUUUGCUUGACCUCAGAAUGACCUCACGUUUGUUUCAAGUUGAAUUGAACCAUCCGAUCAAGAACUAGGAAUGCACAUAAUAAAUCUGCAUUUGAAGGGUGUCUGUCGAUCCAGGGGCUUGUUUCUAGUCCCAUACUUUUGUAGAAAUACUGGUCGGAUAAUGUAGAUGCAGCAUAAUAGGUGAGCAGAUUGUACAUAUAUAUUACAGCGGAUUAGCAAUUUCUGAUACUGUAUGACACUACCUACUCUGAGUUUGUUGGAAAUGUCUUCUUUACAAAGGAGAAUAACAUCUAAGGUUAUCAAUCUAUAUGAACUUUGCAGUAUACACUCGUACUAUUUGCUCUGCUGCACCUUGGAAAGCAAUAUAAUCCACAAUAACUGUGGAUGAUCAGGGAAAGUAUAAACUAAACGUGUCAAUGCUUCCACAGCGGAUACAUCAAGGCAAAAACUCUAGUUACACUUGCACAUUAUAACCGGUAUAUUCGAGCGGCUAACUAACAAUUUAAUGUUUAAGAGUGCAGUUAAAAAUCGCUGGUUAAAAAUGUAUUAUAGAAAUUAGAUAAUUGAUUGCUGGUUAAAAGUGUAUUAUAGAAAUUAGAUAAUUUUUUUUUUGUCAGGAUAGAAUUUAGAUAAUUGUUUGGUAAUUUUUUUUUUUGAUAUUUGUGUAUUUUGAAUUAUAAUAUAAAAAUUAAUGUUCGGUAAAACAUGGAGAGUUUUGACAGUUUUACACAAAAGUUGAAAAAAGUAUUUUUUUUUCCAGAAAUAUGAGUUAAUCUGCUUUUCUUAAAAACACUUUAUGAGCUAAAAACUGUCGUUCUGAAAUAGUUUUUUUUCUGAUGAACACGAAUUUUUAUUGAAUUAAGACUCACCAUAAAAUAUUCUUAAUAUCAACAGGAACAUCUCUACUGUCGACUACUCGACUUGGAUAUGAAUGCGACUUAUGAAUGCGACUCUCGAGCUAAUGUCUGAGUAGUUAUAUUUGUAGACCGCUUAAUAAAAAACGAUGUUGUGUUUAUCUCUCUUAACAGAUCUCGACAUUCCUACACUAUCAUGUCAAAAGGGAACUGUAUACGAAUCUUACUUCUGAUGGCAUGUAUCAUCAGUACUUGAUAUGAAUAUGACUCUCGAGCUAAUGUCUGAGUACUUGAUACGAAUAUUUAAAAAUUAAAAUUAAAUAAAAAUUUAAAAUUAUAUACCUUUUAAAAAUAUGAUGAUUGCUUUUUUUAAAUGUUAGGAAUAUGAGAAAAGGGUUUAAUAUGUUUCAUUUAGUGCAAUAAACAUGUGAAACAUGCUAAUUUAAUUAUUUACGAUUAUUCAAUUUAUUAUUUAUAUUUUUAUUAUAUUUUGAUUAUCUAAUGCACAAUAAUUAAGAAAAAUACAAUAUUGAUGAAAUGAAUAUAAAUUCUAUAUCGCACAUAUAAAAUUAAGUAAAAUGUUAAUAUGCAUAAUUAAUAAUUCAUAAUAUUACAGUAUAUAUACUAUACAUUUAAUUUAUAAUAUAUAUAUAUAUAUAUAUAUAUAUAUAAAAUAUUUUGUGUCAGAUUAUUUUCGGGUUUUGAAUUCGGAUCGGGAAACAUCUUACGUUAAGAUAUCCAAAUGUGUUCAAUAUUAAAAAAGGACAUACUUCCUUGGAAUAUUUUAAACUUUCCCCCCCUAAAACUUAGCAAACAUAAUAAUUGGAUACAUUAUAAAAAUAAAAGAAAUUAGCAAAAAUACUGUUUUUCUAAAUUUUUUUAAAUUUUUAUUGUUUUCUGAAAAUAUUUGCAAAAAUACUUGUAAAUUAUCCGACUUAUGAUCCGAUUCGAUUCGAAACCGAUAAAAUUAAAUGAAUUAUGAUAUGGAUUUAGUUAGAUCCGAUCCAAAUCCGAUCCGUUAACAGGUUUAAGCCUGGCUCACAAUCUCUCGCAUUCAAGAUAGAUAGGGUUUUCUUUUCUCUCUUGUUUUGAGAGUCGACUCCCGUAUUAGGGUUCCAGCCGUCAAAUCUUCACUUCCAGUUCCAGAUCUUCAUCUUCUCAUCAAUUAACCUCUUCGCUCUCUCAUCCCAUCUAUUAUUUUACUAGUUUUUCAAUAAAACCAAGAUCUAAUCUUGUUGAGUACCUUUUAUCAUGGUUGUUAGUGUGUGCCCAUCCUUUUGGGAUGUCAGUGUGUGCCCAUCAUUUUUGGAUGUCAGUGUAAUAUAUUUUGGUAUUCUUAUGUGUCUUGAUAUGUCUUUCGAUUAUCAUUCUGAAAAGAAAUUAUACGAUGUUUUGGGUGGGAGAUCUGUAAGACUUGCAUCGAUCUUGGAACGAUGGUGGAUACCGCAAGAGCUCACCUUUCACCAUAAAUAUUUGUUCAUGUUUUGGGGACGUUUAGUGCUCUAGGAUCAGUUGAUUUGACUGAUAGUUCUGAGCAUUGAGUUACAGAUGAUGCUUAUGUGAAGUUCAAUUACAAUGCUACUAGUUUCAUAACUGAUAUAGGUUGGAUUGCUCGAGAUAUCAUUGUAAUACUUUUUAGAUCAAACAAUAUGAAUAUUCUAUGUGUUAAGCGAUCUGAAAACAAAAUAAAUAUUUGUUUAGUUCGUUUUUUGUUUCACAAUUAGAUUGUAGUUGAGGGUUUGUCCCGGUUGGGUUUGCGUUUCGUAUUAAUAAAAUCAUUUGUUUGUCCAGAAAAAAAGCCCGGCUGUUAGUUUAAACAUUUGCCCCAAUCAUAGAUGUACACUUAAAAUUCUUUUCUAUACAAAAUUGCAAAAAGAGUUGACAUAAAAAUAGAAUUGAUGUGAGAAUUGCUUUAAUUAUUAUUAACAGUUGUAAUUGUUAGAAUACAAUAUGAUCUUGCUAAGCCGUCCGUCCUCCUAACACCUCUAGGUUUCAGAAAAAUUGGUCACUUAAUAGUAAUAAAUUUAUAACUAAAAAUAGCCUAAAUUCUGACAUCUUCAAUGACAGAGUUACAUAAAAAUAAAUGUAGCAUACUUUAAUUCGUAUCGUUCACCAAAACCUCGUGCUCUGAGUUUUAUUCAACUUGGACUUUUUUGAAUUCUUGAGUUAAGUAGAUACUCCUUCCGUUUCAAAUUAGAUGUUCACUUUAAAAAAAACAUACAGUUUAAGAAAAGUGGUUGUUCACAAAUUAAUUGUAUUAAAUGAUCAAAAUAUAUGGAGUAAGAUUGAUCUAGGAAAUAUAAACAGGAGAUAUGUGGAGUAGAAUUGACUUUGGAAAUAUGAUUUUGUAUUGAAAGUUGAAGUGGACAAGUAAUUUGAAACAAAUUUUUUUUUUUGAAAGUGGACAUAUAAAUUGAAACGGAGAGAGUAUAUAACUGCAGAUCCAAGAGCCCUCUUUUUUCAUAUUUCAGCAACCCCAUCAAAUUCAAUGUCUAAGCCAAGGUAAGUACUAUGUGUUUCGAUAUGUCGAUUUAGUUAAAAAAAUUUGCAUUUUAUUUGCAGGUUGGAGGGCAAGGUAGCACUUGUCACCGGUGGCAGGUGCAGCUAGUGGAAUCGGUGAGCAGACGGUUGGAUUAUUGGCUGAAAAUGGAGCUCAUGUGGUUAUUGUAGACGAUGUUGAAGAUGAUGAACUAGGCCAUCAAGUUGUUGCAUUCCGAAAAGGUGAAUUAUCAUGAUUGUGAUGUUAGAGAUGAAGAACAAGUGGUGCAACAUUUUUCACUUUGGCAGCAGAGUAGUAGCCUGAACUGAUGCGCAUUUUACUAGCUAGUAGAUACCACAGAUAUACGUUAUGAAAAAGAUAGUUCAAUAUUUGUAUUAGAUUCCUAUCACUAUCCCAGUAGAUCCAGUUUCUCUUUUCUCAUUCUCUACUAACAAAUUCAAGAAUAACCAUCAAAUAUAAGUAGCUAAACGUCAAAUAAAAUUAGAAUCAGAAAACAUAAUAGUACACAACAGAUCUUAAUAAUAUUGAUCGAGUACACCACCACCGCAAGCUCGCCAAUUUAUGUACAACCACCCUCAAAUAAUAUCGCUAACACUACAACAUUCCCUACAAAACUGCCAGCUCACAACUGCUGCUUCUGCUAAUAAUGAAGCAAUCAGAAACAGCACAAAAUACAUUUGGAACGAGUUCGACUGAAAAUUCACUGAUUGACACCGCCAUCCAACAAGUUCCUUAAGCUACAGAGGGCUUCUGCAGAAAGGCUACAACAUUUUAAUCUUCUCUGAGGUGUUGGUGAUGCUUCCCUGUGAUCGAGGGAAGUAAAACAAACAAUGAUCACAGUGAGAUUAUCAAAAGUGUUAAGACGCAGAGCCUCCAUGACCAGGUCUCUAGCACACUGCCCGGGGUCAUCAUGACGCCUCAAGCCCCGGCGCACAAGGCUGAUUGCCUGCUGACUUGACAUUACAUCCCAAAUUCCAUCACAAGCUAUAAUGAGGAACUCAUCAUCCUCGGUCAGAACAAUCUGCCGGACAUCUGGCUCUGCAAUGAGAGGCGACGGGUUGCCCCGUGACAAUUUCAGGUCCCAAUCACCCAAAGCCCGAGUUACUGAUAGUACGCCAUUGAGAUAACCAUCAUCAAUAAACCCGCCCAGCUCUUCAACUCGUUUCCUUUCUGAUGCAUAACUUGGUCUGUGGUCCUGAGACAUGUCAAUAGCCUCCCCUUUUCGGCACAGAACUGCUCUACAAUCUCCAGCAUUGGCAACCAAUAGACGACUGCAGAAGAGGGAAUUAGUGUUAUAUUCUGAUAUAGCAAGUCACUGUUGGUCAAAGUCAGGUUAGAGAGAGAGCGUACAAUGAAGGACAUGACAUGGACAAAUGGUCUCAUGCAUAGGCAAAUCAUUAAUUUUUUUUUAAAAAAUAAGCUAUUAUGAAACAAUGAGCCUAGAAAUUUUGGUUAAUGUAUUUACUGAAAGAGACAUGUCUUGCAGGUAUUACCUUCAUGUCUACGUUAAGAGACACAAGUCAAAAUAUUAAGCUUUUGAUUCUAAUCACGAUUAGAAUCAGCUUAUUCUUACUGAGAAAAAAAUGAUAAAUCAACUUCCGAUUUUUAAGCCUGAGCGGAUGCUAGGAAAAUAUUGCAUAAUCUCAGCUUCUGGAGAUUUCAUAACCUAUAAGGUAAGGAUUUUUGUCAAGUUAUCCACAUUAAAAUCAGUUAAAUCUCUUACAAAGUAUAAUUGCAAGAAAGAAAACAAUAAAGCACCUAGAGUGAUAGCUAAACAAACCAACAGUUUUCCUAUUGACACAAUACGAAGCUUUCACAAUUUGGAGAGUAAUCCUAAACUGGGAUAGGAGUAGCGAUUCCAGGAUGGACAUAUACCCCUCAACAUUAUUAUUGAUAUUCAUAUUCAAUCACGUGUAUAAUUGCAUUAACUCUGGAUAUAUCAUAACUAGGAGAAGGAAACUAGAAGCAAAAUUUGCAAUUAUCCAUCAUUUCAAGCGAGGGACUACCACUGGAAUAUUAUGCUUUCUUCGACUCAUUAGGCACCGAUUAUGCUCUUUAAAGCAACACUACAGUAAGAUUAAUGUAGAAAUACCAAGGCAUAAGUUUGUUCUGGUAACAACACCUUAAUUUAUUUACUUUUUAUUUUUGAGAAAAGACCAUAAUUAUUUAUUAAUUCUAUCAAACAAUAAAUUUGCAUUUAUUCAGAAUUUACUACACAUAUCCCAAAGAUAAUAAAGCGCCUCAAACACUCCCACCAAGCACACCAAUACUGGAUCUCCAGCUGNCUCAAAUCCUACACUUGACAGCUACUUAAAUGUGAUAUCUCACAAGACCUCAUCCUAUAACCUUAUCCCACACUUGACAUCUACUUGAAUGUGAAAUUUCAUCCGACCUCAUCGUGUAACUCCAAAAACCAUUCGACCUUCUUGAGCAAUAAAAGUAUUACUUAAAAAUGAAGAACCUAAAGAUUUAAUCCAUUUAAGCACCCAGAUAGUCAUAUUCCUUGAAUAAGAAUACCCAACAUAAUUUUAAAGAAAAGUCACAAAAAGAAAUAUGAAAAAGGUCAUGUAGAGGUAAAUGCAGUUAGCAAACAAUUAUAGAAUGUUAAAAAAAUUAGGUUUGUGUUUUUUACUACAUUGCAAAUAUUAAAACCGGUAACUUCAACAAGAAACAAUGACGGCUUGAUAUGAACACCUAUAGAGAAGAAGGAGCCACUAAUAUCUACCGUAUGUAAGAUAAAACCAAAGACUCCAUUUUUAUCGAUUGAACAAUUUAUGAGUGAAUCCUAUAGUAUCACAAAACAUUUGCAAAUCACUUAGAAGAGACAAAAACAGAAAAACGAACCGUGACGACACACAGACACAAACUUCAAAGACAAAGCCAAACAGCACUCAAGAAUAUAACACUGUAUUUACCCCAUCUACUAACUACAAGUUUUAAGGUUUGGAGAAAGUUGAUAACUUAAGGAAUUCAUGUAAUGCAGGUAUUUGUAGGAAGUUCAGCCCUCAUCGCCCUGACAUUCUCAAAUUAUAUUUUUGAACCCUAGCAUUGAGCUACUCCUUGGAACCACAUACUGGAAUGGGCUUCUAGUUGAGGUGCAUAUCAACAUAUGCAGAUAACAAAUAUUAAACCCCCACCCCUCCCCUAAAUUUUGGGAGACUUGGUCAACUAAAGCUGCAUGAGACAUCUGGUCAGUAUCCAAGCUCUCGAUUUAUUAUUUUUUUCAUAAUUUUUUUUUGCUGAACUAUCAAUUAUCCAAGGUCUCAAUUGCUACCACAAAAGUGCGUCAAAUUUUUCUCGCAACUUCACACAAAUAUCUACAGUUUUAUUUUAUGUUAUUUUUUUUUAAAGAAGAAAAUCUCUCACACAAUCCAACACUUGGAUACAAAUAUAAAAAUUAAUGUUAUCGAUAAAGAGAAUCCUGCAAAUCGUAUUUUUAAUAAUGAAAACUUCUCUUUCAAAAAAAAAAAUAAUGAAAACUUCAAGUUCUUUUAGAAAUUAUACAAAAAUUUAUUUUUCAAAUAAGAAAAGUCUACACUUAAUAAAGGAUCAAAUAUGAUUAACUAAUAAUAUUAGUAUUCUAAAAAUCCCUGAUUUAAUCGAUUAAUCCUCGAUUAAUCCUCUACAAUGUAUCUCGCCAAUUCAAUUUUUAAAAUCCGAUUCUCAUAAAUUUUUCUCUAUUGGAGUAUAUAUAUAAUUUAUUAAAAUUAAAAUACUAUUUUCUUUUAAAUAUGAGUAAUAAUAGAAUUUAUGAUAUAAUAAAUAUGUAUUUGGUAAUAAAUAUCUAUAAUCACAAGAAUAUAUUAAAUUAUAUUUUAUUAUUAAAAUAUAUUCGAUUUUCACUCUCAUUAAUCCUUAUGAUUAAUCCUAAUUUUCGAUUUAUCUUAAAUCGGUAUCCAAUCAAUUAGUUUCAAAUUUCAAUUUUUAUGAUUUUUAUAACCCGGAUAAACCAGUAAGCCAUUCAGAUCAUCCACACCCUCUUGUUAAUGACUAAUCAAUCAAUCGAAAAUUAAACAAAAAUGAUUAGUUUGUGUAUUAAUCAAUAUCUUAAAAUCAUAAAAUAAAUAUUAUUUAUUCAUUUAAUGUAUUAAUUUACACAAAUAUGAAUUGAUUAGAAUAAGCCCGAGUGAUAAAGAUAUAUCUCUGUCGUCCUAGGUGGAUCCUCGCUAGUCUCAAAAUUUAUUUGAAUAUAGAUACUCUUUUUCUUUUUGAGUAAAAUAUAGAUAUUUUUUGUAAGGUUAUAAAUCAACUUCCCGUCAGAAAAAAAAAGUUAUAAAUCAACUUAGUCAAAAAUAAAUAAAUUCAGAGGCCCAGAUAAAAAAGCUUUAAAAUUCCGGUGGGAAAGUAUCUUGCAUAAAAUAAACUGACAAUUAAGUCGGCAAUUUUUUAAAUCCAUAAUAAUCAAUCGUAAAAAAAUAAACGGUCAAAAAGCAGAGACUAAUGAAUGAUUUUUGAGAACACAUGCACAGAUAUGGUACCUAUUUGUAAUAAAAAAACACAUGAAAAUGUUUGAGUUCUUUCUUUGACUGCUAUCAAACCAAAGCAGCAAAAUACAGAAAACAAACAACAAAUCCAAAGUAGACUCCUGGUCCCCCAAUCUCAGUAACCCAUCAUGCUCAGCUAGUUAAACCCCAAGUUUGGGCUUUUAUUGUUAUGAUCAGAUGUUUUAAUUACAAGCCCUCCACUCAUUUUGAUUCUUUUUGGUAAAUUUCUGAUCUUUUCUUGGUUUUUGUUGUAAAGAUUGGAUUUUUAUCAAGUUUUAAUUUUGUGUGGAUCUUGGUUUUGUGAUAUAUGUUUGUGUAUGUGUAUUUGGUGGAUCUUUGUUGUUUUAGGGUUGUCUUGAAUUUGUUUCUGCUUGUGGGUUUUUAAUCAGAUUGCAAUUUGUUUAUAAGAUUAUGUUUGAGGGUUGUGUUAUCACCUUAAGUGGACUGUGUGUGAGUGAAUUUGAAAAAAUUGAUUAUAAGGUUGAUUUGUUGUUCUUUUUUCUAGCUUUUGGGGGUGUUACUAAUGAGAAUAGUUGAUUUAAGAGGGUAUGCAUUAGGGUCUGGAUUGAAUUACUUGAUUGUAAAUUUGAGUGUGUACAAAUGUGGUAGUCUUAAGUAUAAUCAAUUGGAGAUGAUAGUGAACUUUGCUAUGGCACUUGUGACUGCAAGUGCCUGUGGAAUAUUCAUGCUAAUACCGUGUAUGAGGUGCAAACUUAUUCCUUAGUAUGUGUUAGCUGUGAACAGCUUUUGGAACAAGACAUAUCAUUGUACUUGAUGGUUUUUUGCUUAUAAAUCAGUAUAUAUACACUUGUGGAAUACUUGGAAAGAAUUCUUGUUCCAUUUAUUCUUGCUGCUUGUUUAUAACUAGGGAUAGUAUUGCGGUUGCUCUUUAUUUUUUUACAUUAGGGGACAAGUGCUUAUCAAGUUGAAAAGCUUCUAGCGGGUGGCAUUAAUAUCGUGAUAGGGGUAUAUGGGUUUUGCUACUCAUUCUAGAUAAGGCAGAUGUAGUCUUUGUCUUAUUCUUCUAUUAUGAUUGUGUAGAUAAACCAACGUAUGCUAAUUGUAGGUCAUAUUAAAUUGUUGAUUUUGCUUUUGCAGUCAAGGUAGGAUUUUUGAAGCACCCCGUGUUUUUAAUCAGUUUGAGCGUAACAGCCAAUGGCUUCAGUUAGUGUAGUUCCCACAUUGGGAACAAAAGAACCUAGUGAAAACAGUGCUGGUGUUGAUAGGCUUCCCGAAGAGAUGAAUGACAUGAAAAUUAGGGAUGACAAGGUACAUGCCGGGCUGUAUAUAUGUGUGUGUGCACAUAUGAUAUCCUUCCAUUGUUGUUCUAGUAUUUAAUGCUCAGUUAAUAUAUAUUGAUCUUAACUACUGGUCCAGGAAAUGGAACCAGCCAUAGUUGAUGGUAAUGGGACGGAGACUGGGCACAUUAUCGUGACAACUAUUGGUGGUAGAAAUGGCCAACCAAAGCAGGUAACUCUUGACAUCUUAUAAUUUAGGCACGCUACCAUGUCAAAUUAUAUUUGUUGUGCUGUAAUUUGAAUUUGUUCAGUGUGCUGAUCCAGACAAUUAGCUAUAUGGCUGAGCGAGUUGUUGGGCAAGGAUCAUUUGGAGUAGUUUUUCAGGUCUGUUUCCACUUUCCAGUGUUGACUUAGUUUCACGGUCAUUUCCUUUCAAAGAGGGAUGCCCAUUGAUUGUAAUCUAAAUUUUUAGUUCAGUUACCUUUUUAAAUUGAUACAAACAACAUUUGGUUGUUUCAGGCAAAAUGUCUAGAGACUGGUGAAGCGGUUGCAAUCAAAAAGGUUCUUCAGGACAAGAGGUACAAAAACCGGGAGUUGCAAACCAUGCGUGUUCUCGAUCACCCAAAUGUUGUCUCGCUUAAGCAUUGCUUCUUUUCAACGACGGAAAAGGAAGAGCUCUAUCUUAACCUGGUAUUAGAGUUCGUCCCAGAGACUGUUCACCGGGUGAUCAGACACUACAACAAGAUGAAUCAAAGAAUGCCUAUGAUUUACGUGAAACUUUAUAGUUACCAGGUAUGCUUUAUACAGCAUCAACAUAAUAAUUUACCCUCCUUCCCCUCCACUCAAGCAUGUAGACACAUUCCAUAAUAAUAAACAAUUUCCCCUCCCUAAAUGCUUAAUCAAGUAUCUCGUUGAUGUAAAAUUCCAUCUGUUCGCUUUUAUGGUAAAUAUGUAGUUCUUUAAUAAUUAAUACUAUCCUUUUGCUUAUAAUUUUAAUAAAUCUCUGGAUUAAUCUAUACAUAAUGUUUUGGGCAGAUUUUGAGAGCACUGGCUUACAUUCAUGGCAGUAUUGGAGUAUGUCACAGAGACAUUAAACCGCAAAACUUGCUGGUAAAUUUACUGAAAUAUUACCUUUGAUCAACACAAAAUAUUUGUCUAUUAUCUAGCCUCAUCAACCAGUAGUUAUAUUACCCCCAUAAUGGCCUACUCAAUGGGUACCCAAAUGAACAGCUUAUAGUGAAUGUAAUCUAAGCAUACCUUAUAUUUGCUGCAUCAUGUAAUGAGGACAGUGAACAGUGGACAUCGAUGUUUAAGUUUAAUAUGGAAUAUUUAAGCUAAUAUUGAAUUUAAUAAUGGAAUUUUCAUCCCAGGUAAACCCACAUACUCACCAAGUAAAAUUAUGCGACUUUGGAAGUGCAAAAGUUCUGGUUAGUAUUGAUACAUCCUGCUAUGAUAGAUCAAUUCACUUAUCCAAAGUAACUUUUAUUAAUAUUGAGUCAAAUUGUGCAGGUAAAAGGAGAGCCAAACAUUUCUUACAUCUGUUCUAGAUACUACCGUGCCCCGGAACUUAUAUUUGGUGCAACGGAAUACACUACUGCCAUAGACAUCUGGUCUGCUGGGUGUGUUUUGGCCGAAUUGCUGCUUGGACAGGUAAAUAUAGCUUAACAAUAUAUAUUUUGUCUUUGCUGAUCUGAGAACCUUGUAAUCUAUUUGCUUAUCUAAACACUUAUUGGUGAUCUCAGCCCCUCUUUCCUGGUGAGAGUGGAGUGGACCAGCUUGUGGAAAUUAUCAAGGUUAGUUUCACCUGCAAGUAUAUAGAUAUGUCAUGACUUGCUUUCCUCGCACGUGUCAAAAAUUUACAUAUGGGAUUAUCUUGGCUUAUUGUCAUUUUACUACAAGUAGACCUAAACAAAUCAUUUUAUGAUCUCCGGUGCCGUCCAUAUUCUAUAUUAACUCAUGAACUUCUUCCUUUACAUAUUAUAUAUACCUGAUGAGGAGGCUGGUUCAUCUGUCGAGAAAGGACCUGAAUACAUCUAUUAAUGCAGGUUUUGGGUACACCUACUAGGGAGGAAAUCAAAUGCAUGAAUCCCAACUAUACAGAAUUCAAAUUUCCACAGAUAAAAGCUCAUCCAUGGCACAAGGUAAGAAUGAGUCAAUUUAUUGACAGUUUGGAUUUUCAGUUUUUAUGUGUGUGAUGUUCAUUAGUAGUGUUGGGGCACAGAUAUUCCAUAAGCGCAUGCCUCCAGAAGCCGUGGAUCUUGUGUCACGUCUGUUACAGUAUUCUCCGAAUCUUAGAAGUUCAGCUGUAAGCACACUAUCCAACUUGUACAUGUUUCUCUUUACAAAAAGAUUACCUGCACUUGGUUUUCCUAUUGCCCAGCUAUUAUUACACUGUGUUUGUCCAAGAACAACCUGAUGAAAACUCUUUCCUUGACUAUUUCUUCUAUUUUGAAAAUGAUGAGGAAACCCUAUUUAUCUUUACAAGUCGACAUCUUUGCCUUAUUAUGUACAUUGUCUUGCUCCAUUGCAGUUGGAUGCUUUGAUGCAUCCCUUUUUUGAUGAGCUUCGAGACCCAAACACCCGCCUACCAAAUGGGCGAUUUCUUCCUCCGCUGUUCAACUUCAAGUCUCAUGGUAAGGUUCUGUCAAGACUAUUACAUUUGCUCCUUUUUUAUUGCAUGUUGUAACUGAUUUUUUUUUUUUUCUUUUUGCUACUACUAUUUUUAGAGAUAAAGAAGGUGCCAACUGAGAUGCUGGGAAAGCUGAUUCCUGAACAUGCGAGAAAGCAGUGUGCAUCCAUCAGUGCAUGAGUAUUCUUCAGUAUCUAUGUAUUUAUGUACUCUAGUUGUAGGCAAAACUAAAAGUUUAUGCUCAAUAUGCUAUCAUGUGGGGGUAUACUGACCCUUGCGUGUAGUUCAUGACAUAGUUGUAAUAGUUAAUCGUAUGCAAAGCUUAAUAUGUUUUUAAUUAGAACUAGAGAUGGUUUUGGAGUUGCAUCGUGUUAUCUUUUAUGCGCCUCUUUUCUUGCUAUCUUGCUGUUUGUUCCAUUGGCCAAUCAGUGUAUAUGGCUAGAUGUGAUCAAUCCGUUCUGUUAAAGAGUUGUGUGCUUUUAUAUGCUGGGGGUGGUGUGUAUGGCUCUGAAGUGUUUAGGAAACGUUAAUGGCAAUGUGAGUGGAGAACAUGAUUACUUUUUAUGGGUUCGGGAGAGAACUCAUAGAACUCUUAUCUUAUUUCUAGUCUCUAUGUAUUAUCUUUCAAAAUUAUUUUUGAUUACACACAACGAUGAAAAAACAUGAAAAAAACAUGCAUUUAGAUUUAGAUCCUAAAAAUCUAUUUAAAAUUUAGGGUUUUGCGGCAGAAAUUUAGUGGGUCUAUGGUCUAUUUUAAGGAUUGGUUAGCGUUACCCUACUUUUUACAUGGCUGAAAAACUUUAUACUCCCUCCAUCCCAAAUUAGAUGACUCUUUUGAGAAAAAAAAUUUAUCCCAAAAUACUUGAGUCUCCCUCUUUUCAAUGCAUAUUUAUCAUCAAUCUUUCAUCCUUACCUUUUUUUAUUUAUCAUUUCCAAUGUUACAUCUUACUAAAACUAUCGAAAGUCAACGCAAUAAAUAAGGACAUAGAUGGAAAAAAGAUGAAUCAUUUAUUACUCCUUAAUAUGUGUGAAAUGAGCAAAAAGCUCAUCUAAAUUGGGAUGGAGGGAGUACACCCUCCAUUUCUCUAAACUCAGAGCGCCUAGCCCUAGAUUUCAUCUCUUCGUCAACAAUGAAGCUCGUCAGGUUUUUGAUGAAAUUGAACAACGAGACUGUCUCCAUUGAGCUUAAGAAUGGGACUAUUGUUCACGGUACUAUCACAGGUGAAUCUCCCUCCCCCCCCUCUCUCUCUCUCCCCCUCCCUCCAUAUAUAUAUAAUAUAUGUGAACAAGAAGUUAUUGAAUUGAAUCGAACAUUAAUUUGAAUAAAGUGUCUGAACUCUGAGCGUGUAGCUUUUUACUUUAUAGUGAAUUAAAAGUCCAUAUGUUCUUCAUUUUUCUUACACAUAAACUCUCUCUCUGGACAAGAAAAAAACCACCGACCGUCAAAUCGUCAAUGAUCUUGAAUUUGCCGUCCACACUUCGAUCCCUCCCGUAAAAUACACAUAAGUUACAAAAGGCUUUUCCGAUCCGAGACGAUGUUUGAUUAUUGGUGUCCAGAUUCUUGCGGCACUGGAGCGUGUUUCUGAGAGAGAAAGAUUUGUUCGUGAUCACCCCGUUGCACUUUGUUUCUUUGUUACUCUGCAUUUCUUCCCUAGAUUCACUCCCCUCUCUCAUUCCUUUACAUUAUAUUCACGCACUAAAAACACUUUCAGUUUCACAUUUCAACUUGCGGUUAUAUCCUCCACCAACUGCCCUCCUUUCUUCCCCUCAAUUCUACACUUGUCACAUAUAUAUUGCAUGCCAGCAGUUUUCCCGAUUAAGAUACUUGAAGCCGCAGAAGUUAAUUAUCAUUUGGCAACUAGAGAUCAUAAAUUCUUUGGCCUCCAUACGGGCUCAGAUCAUUUAUUGAUAGAUGAAUUAGCGGCAAAGAGGUUUUAGGUGUUUUGGCGUUCUGCUUUGAUGCAACGGCUCGGAUCAUUUACGGACAGAUGCAUUCUUGAUAGAGGUAAGUCCCAUGUGUUCAAAAUCAUGGGCCAAGGUACUAUCUAUUUAUAUUUCACACAAAAUUAUGUCUUGCACAUAUUUUACCCUCCCAGACCCUGCUCUAAGCGGGAUAUACUGGGUUUGUUUGGUUUGGCUUGGAGUACACCCCAUGAGCAGUUCUGUUUUUCUUUUACUUUUCGGUUCAAAUACCCUUGAAAUGGGACGGUUGCAAGAUCAUAUAGGACAUGUAUUGAGGAAAUUAUAUAGGUCCUGCAAUUUACAAGAAGACGGCAGGUUUGUUUGACUAUUAACAAUUUUGUGGAAUUUUGGAUGCCAUCUCUUCAUGAGUUAUGUUUUAUGAAGAUCAAUGUUUACUUGAGGACCGUAUCAAAAUAUUGCAGUAUUUUGAAUAUGAUAUUUUAAAUUUAAUUAUCGUUAACUUUUGUGAUUUUAAUUUCAACAAUUCACCUUUUUUCUUCAUGACAAAAUUUAGAAUAAAAUUUUAUGAUGAUAACAUAUUUGUUUUACAAAAAUAUUAUUUUUGAACCACACCUCAUGGAGAUUAGGUAAUUAGUUACUCCUAUCAUUUAUGAUCGGUUCCAUUUAGCUAAGAAUAGGAAUUAGGAGGGUGUAAAGACGAAUAUAAUAUGUAACUUAAUAUUUUGACGCAUUAUUCACUUGAGGGUUUUGUAUUUGUAAAAAUUGUCAAUUUUGCAUUGUAAUUAGAUACGUGGUAACAAACAUCAAAAUCGGAGAUCAUUUAAAUUACUGAAUUAGGGUAGUAGUAUCCAUCGGAUGAUUUCUAAUACACUCACACCGCCAUAGGUUCGAAUUCUCCAUAUCCUAUAAAGGAAGCGAAGGAGAUACCGCUACACCAAGAAGUGUCGGGUAGACAUCAGUCACAUCACAAUAGAAUUUUGCACCGACUUGGUUCAGUUUUAUGCAACAUAUCGAUGUCAACAUAUUUAGAUAUGAACCAGAGCAGGAUACAAAAAAAGGAUUCAGUAUCUCCAGAACUCCACUGACUAUAUUUAACUUGUAUAUUUGCAAAGAUAUGAACACUUAUUGCAGGGGUGUACGCGGUUCGGAUCAGAUCGGUUUUAGGAUCAAAGUCGAACCAAACCGUAAAUAGCGGUUUUAGAAAAUCUACAACCACAACCGCAUUUGCGGUUGCGAUUAACCACAUAAUUUCAACCGCGGUUUAGCGAUUAUGCGGAUCGGUUUGCAUCAUUUUAUUCUAGUGUCCCCCAACACCAAACUACAGUAAUUCUUACAUGAUCUUCCCUGCAAAGGGCAAUAAAUAUUAUGGUUAUAGUAAGAGUGAAUAUGUAAGAAUCUAAAGACAUGUUUAUAAUUUUUAUUAGCAUGCAGUACUAGGAUUAAGGUAGCCGAGCACCGGAUUUGAAGGAGUCUUACAAUUUAUAUUAGUUAUUACUCAUUAGUCGGACACUUUACAUUUUAUAUUUCUGAAUGUUAACUCAUUCAGUAAAUUUAUUAAUAUUUGCUAAUUAGGAGCAGAGAAUGUUUAUAAAGACUAAAGAGUAAUGGGGAAAGAAUACAUUUUGUAGUGUUACUGUUACACCAUUCUCCUUUUUGGACAUUCUGUUUUAACUUUCAAGCCAGCUUCCACCUUGUCAAAAGACAUGAUGAAAGAAUUUAGCUCAUGUUGAUUUGCAUAACCUAACUUGAAAGUCCCUCGGACAAAUAUUAGUAGUUUUUAUAGUUUGCGAGAAGAAUGUGUAAAUAUGAAAUCAGUCUCUAUUAAUAUAACUAAACAAAGGUCAAUUAAAACUAAAUAUGAGUCCACACUUCAUUUUCUCUAAUCACUAUCGAUAGUUCCAAACAACUUGUCUAUUUUAAUAAUGGCAUCUAUGCGCAUAUAUAGCAAUGCUGCUUUCAUUUCUCGCAUUCAAUUUUGCCAAGCCAAAUAUCAUUAUCAUAAAAAACGCAAACAUUCGCCUCCAAUAUCCCAAAUUUCUCAGCCUCCAUCUGGUGCACCAGCACCAGGACCAUCUAAUGAACCUCCAAGUAAAAUUGGUGCUGUCGCAGAUGGCAUGACUGAUGACACUGAGGCAUUUAAGACAGCUUGGGACACCGCUUGCCAAUUUGAAUACGGGGUUAUUCUUGUUCCUAAUGGUUACUCUUUUAUGAUUCAGUCCACAAUUUUCACUGGCUUCUGUAAGCUAAGGGCGGUCUAGUUUUCCAGGUAUGCAUUGUUUUCUUUUUUAAUCACUAGUCCUGCUUGUGACAGCUUUGGGACUUUUAUAUUGAAACUUAAUUUUUUUUUUGUUUUUACCAAAUUAAAAGGUUGAUGGCACACUAAUGCCACCAGAUGGACCUGAAUAGCAAACAUCAAUGGCUGGUGUUUUACAGAAUCGACGAGAUGUCUUUGCAAGGUGGUGGUGUGAUUAAUGGAAGAGGAGAAAAAUUCCCUGCAAGCCUCACAGGGUAUGUCAGUAUCUCUUUUGAUUCAUCAAAUUGCAAAUUCAGAAGAUAAAAAUUGAUAUAUGGACAAUGUAAACUGUUAUGCAGGGACCUAACAUUGCCAGGACCAUGCGACAGCCCAGUUGUAAGUAGAAAAUUUUGACUCUUAAGCUAUGGUAUCUUAUCUCCGUAUUAAACUUGUAAAAUAGGCAGGCUAUCAGGUUCUUCAUGAGCAACAAUUUGACAGUGCAAGGACUUAAAAUAAUAGACAGCCCUCAGUUUAACUUGAGAUUUAAUAAAUGCACCAAUGUCCAUGUAGAAUCAAUUCACAUUACAGCUCCAGCUUUAAGUCCUAUAGAUUGUAUAUAGUUUGCAUCAAUGUAUUAAUCAUGUAAUUUUUUUUUUUUCCUUUUUUUCAAAUUAUACCAAUCAUGAUUUCCUGUUAUAUAUGAGCAUGUAAUCUUUGAAGAAGGAUAUUAUUAUUAAAUCCUUCCAUCAUUAUGAGUGUGACUUACAUAUUAAUAAGAACUUCUCUUUAUACUUUAAAUGUUACACUUAUGCGUUAGUCUAUAUAUCCUACAAGUGAUCCUGCACUCAUCAAACAAUGGCCAUAUAUCCAGCAAUAUAUAUCUUUCACCUGAAAAGAAUUGAACGAUCCUAAUACAUUGUACAUAUGUGAAAAUUAUAAUAAAUUUCAUUCCGUAAGUUAAGUACUGUCAGAUGAACAAGUACAUUGAUCUUUGCACGAUCUCGAGUAUACUUGACUCCUAACAAUACUCUACUACUUCUAAUAAAUCUCCUAAAAUAAGAUAGACUCAAUACCUCCUACAAACUCUCUAGAAUUCCAACAAUCAUCCAACUACUUCAAUCUAGAAUUAAUCCUCAAAGUAAAUAACUAAACAAAUCUAUACUAUACUAUUAAAGCCGAAACAUUAAAAGUUUGGUCGGUCGGUACGCGGGCUUUUAUACGGACUUUUAUAAUUAGCGGGCUUCAAACAAAAUUAAUGGGCUAAGUUUGGUGGAUCGGUACGCGGGCUUUUAUACGGACUUUUGUAAUUAGUGGGCUUCAAACAAAAUAUAAACAAAUCAAAACAUAAAACAAAUAUACGACCUAUUUGACUAUACCAAAACUAAAGUCAAACCUUAAAAAAUAUUAUACUAUUAAAACUGAAACAUUAAAAAUUUGGUCGAUCAGAACACGGGCUUUUAUACGGACUUUUAUAAUUAGCGGGUUUCAAACAAAAUUAGUGGAUUUCAAACAAAAUGUAAACAUAUCAAAACAUAAAAAAAAUAUAAGAGCAAAAUAUAAAACAAAUAUAAGACAUAUUUGACUUACCAAAAACUAAAGACAAACCUUAAAAAAAUACAUAUGCAUCUAUAUUUACUAUAUUAUUAAAGCCGAAACAUUGAAAGUUUGGUCAGUCGGUACUUGGGCCAUAAUACGGGUCUAUCUAUAUACCAAUUAUUCUUUUUAAGUAAAAUAUGUCAUCUUUUUUUAUAUUUUCUAACUAAAAAAACUCCAUCAUUUAAAAUAACAUCGAAAAAUAUAGUAAUUACCUUUUUAACUAAAACACAUUAUCUUUUUUAUAUAUACUAACUAAAAAACGGAUUUUCUACAAUUAACACGGACUACAUAUAUAUAAAAAUAUAAUAUUAUUAUAUAUAAUUAUUAAUAAAUAACUUGUGAUAUUUUUCAACCAAACACAUUAACAUUAUUUUUAAAUACUCUAAUGGACUCACUUUAAAAGUAAUAUUAUAAAUCUAUAAUAUACUAUUAUACUGUUAAAUCAUGACAAUUUCAGUUAGUCGGUCGGUCGGUCGAGUUCGGUGAGCCAGUUGGUAUUCGUCCCAUGAACCUCAUUAAUUUAUAACAUAUUAUAAUAUAUUUUUUAUUAUCUAUUAAACCAAAAUAUUAAAAAUUACGUUAGUAUGAUGUGUCGGUAUUUGGUUUUACGAGUCUUUUUAACUUAUAAUAUGUUCCAUAUUAUAUUAUAAAUUAUCAAUAACGAAAUAUUAGAAGAUUGAUUGGUUGAUUUAUAUAUGAUUUUAUAGAUCUUCUUAAAUUAUAAGAUGAAAAAAAAAAAUUUUAACAUUCUCAGUAAAAUAUACAUGUUCAACCUAAUUUUUUAUUAGCCGUUUGACGGAAUUAACUAUUAAGAAUUUAUCAGCUGUUAAAUAAAAAAUUUAUAAAAUAAUAGUAUUCUAUUAUAAUUUUAUUCUCACAAUAAUAUUAAUUUAAGUUAAAAUAUAUACGAUAAGAUAGCAAAUAUUAUAACCGCCCGUGCAUGGCACGGGUUAUAAGCUAGUAAUAAUAAUAACUAAAUUUAAGAUUAUUCCAACAAUCACCCCCAUAAUCUUAAAUUUACUUAACAGAAUUUAUGAAGCACUUCUCUUCAUUUGUGAUGCACUUCUCACCACCAACAAUUUGUUGAUGCACUUCUCAUCAACAACAAAUUCACUGGAGCUCUUCUCUCCCAGUGCACAUAAUCACCCAUAACUCUAAAGUAGAGGUUCUGCCUCCAUCAGUUGUGCCAUGAUUUCUUCAUCACCUUGAAAUCUACAAUUCUUUGCCAAGUGCCCAUAUCUUUUGCAUUUGAAGCAUUGUGGCUUUCCUUUGUUCCAGCAGUCCUUUUCUUCGUGACCGAUGUUAUGAGGGGUACUUCAAUUUUUCCACCAUUUUCUUCCUCCCUCAUUAAUCUCCUUUGAUCUAUGGCACUAAGAGCAUUGACUAAUUCCACUAGGGUUAUUUUGGAUAGGUCUUUAGAAUCUUCAAGUGAAGAUAUUUUAGACUCAUAUUUUUCAGGAACACUCACCAGAAUUUUAUCAACAACCCUCUCGCUAGCAAAUGUUUCACCAAACAACCUUAUUUGAUUAACAAUGCUCAUAAGCUUACUCACAUAUUCCUUAAUAGUUUCGUUCCCCUUCAUCCGCUGCAUCUCGAAUUCUCGUUUGAGAUUCAAAACUUGCAUCAACUUUGUUUUAGCAUUUCCUUCAAACUCUUCCUUUAACGUGCUCCAUGCCUCUUUUGGUGACUCACAAGUCAUGAUACUUGUAAAGAUUCCAUCCGACACCGCCGAAUGAAUACAUGAGAGUGCCUUUGCUUCUCUUGCUGCUUCCUCGUCACGUUUUUUGAUUUGAGCUGCGGUUGGAUUUUGUGGAAGAAUGGUUAAUUCAACAUCACUUUCAAUUGUUUCCCACAGACUCAUAGCUUUCAAAUAUGAUUUCAUUUUGAUAGCCCAUGAAUUAUAGUGAUCUCCUUUGAAUGUAGGUAUCGAAAGAGAAAAAUUAUUUGACGCCAUUUGAAAAAAAAUACAAAGAUUGCUUAUCUAUAUAUAUUUUUUCAUAACUUCACAAGCCCUUUAAACCUAGCUCUGAUGCCAAGUGUAGAAUAUAAAACUGAUUCUUAUUAAUUCUUGUUCCUCUAAAAAAGAGAUUACAUGCUAUAUUUAAAACAAACGUACUUGACUCCUAACAAUACUCUACUACUUCUAAUAAAUCUCCUAAAAUAAGAUAGACUCAAUACCUCCUACAAACUCUCUAGAACUCCAACAAUCAUCCAACUACUUCAAUCUAGAAUUAAUCCUCAAAAUAAAUAACUAAACAAAUAAUAAUAAUAACUAAAUUUAAGAUUAUUCCAACAAUCACCCCCAUAAUCUUAAAUUUACUUAACAGAAUUUAUGAAGCACUUCUCUUCAUUUGUGAUGCACUUCUCACCACCAACAAUUUGUUGAUGCACUUCUCAUCAACAACAAAUUCACUGGAGCUCUUCUCUCCCAGUGCACAUAAUCACCCAUAACUCUAAAGUAGAGGUUCUGCCUCCAUCAGUUGUGCCAUGAUUUCUUCAUCACCUUGAAAUCUACAAUUCUUUGCCAAGUGCCCAUAUCUUUUGCAUUUGAAGCAUUGUGGCUUUCCUUUGUUCCAGCAGUCCUUUUCUUCGUGACCGAUGUUAUGAGGGGUACUUCAAUUUUUCCACCAUUUUCUUCCUCCCUCAUUAAUCUCCUUUGAUCUAUGGCACUAAGAGCAUUGACUAAUUCCACUAGGGUUAUUUUGGAUAGGUCUUUAGAAUCUUCAAGUGAAGAUAUUUUAGACUCAUAUUUUUCAGGAACACUCACCAGAAUUUUAUCAACAACCCUCUCGCUAGCAAAUGUUUCACCAAACAACCUUAUUUGAUUAACAAUGCUCAUAAGCUUACUCACAUAUUCCUUAAUAGUUUCGUUCCCCUUCAUUCACUGCAUCUCGAAUUCUCGUUUGAGAUUCAAAACUUGCAUCAACUUUGUUUUAGCAUUUCCUUCAAACUCUUCCUUUGACGUGCUCCAUGCCUCGUUUGGUGACUCGCAAGUCAUGAUACUUAUAAAGAUUCCAUCCGACACCGCCGAAUGAAUACAUGAGAGUGCCUUUGCUUCUCUUGCCGCUUCCUCGUCACAUUUUUUGAUUUGAGCUGCGGUUGGAUUUUGUGGAAGANGAAGCAUUGUGGCUUUCCUUUGUUCCAGCAGUCCUUUUCUUCGUGACCGAUGUUAUGAGGGGUACUUCAAUUUUUCCUCCAUUUUCUUCCUCCCUCAUUAAUCUCCUUUGAUCUAUGGCACUAAGAGCAUUGACUAAUUCCACUAGGGUUAUUUUGGAUAGGUCUUUAGAAUCUUCAAGUGAAGAUAUUUUAGACUCAUAUUUUUCAGGAACACUCACCAGAAUUUUAUCAACAACCCUCUCGCUAGCAAAUGUUUCACCAAACAACCUUAUUUGAUUAACAAUGCUCAUAAGCUUACUCACAUAUUCCUUAAUAGUUUCGUUCCCCUUCAUUCACUGCAUCUCGAAUUCUCGUUUGAGAUUCAAAACUUGCAUCAACUUUGUUUUAGCAUUUCCUUCAAACUCUUCCUUUGACGUGCUCCAUGCCUCGUUUGGUGACUCGCAAGUCAUGAUACUUAUAAAGAUUCCAUCCGACACCGCCGAAUGAAUACAUGAGAGUGCCUUUGCUUCUCUUGCCGCUUCCUCGUCACAUUUUUUGAUUUGAGCUGCGGUUGGAUUUUGUGGAAGAAGAGUUAAUUCAACAUCACUUUCAAUUGUUUUCCACAGACUCAUAGCUUUCAAAUAUGAUUUCAUUUUGAUAGCCCAUGAGUUAUGAGGGGUACUUCAAUUUUUCCACCAUUUUCUUCCUCCCUCAUUAAUCUCCUUUGAUCUAUGGCACUAAGAGCAUUGACUAAUUCCACUAGGGUUAUUUUGGAUAGGUCUUUAGAAUCUUCAAGUGAAGAUAUUUUAGACUCAUAUUUUUCAGGAACACUCACCAGAAUUUUAUCAACAACCCUCUCGCUAGCAAAUGUUUCACCAAACAACCUUAUUUGAUUAACAAUGCUCAUAAGCUUACUCACAUAUUCCUUAAUAGUUUCGUUCCCCUUCAUUCACUGCAUCUCGAAUUCUCGUUUGAGAUUCAAAACUUGCAUCAACUUUGUUUUAGCAUUUCCUUCAAACUCUUCCUUUGACGUGCUCCAUGCCUCGUUUGGUGACUCGCAAGUCAUGAUACUUAUAAAGAUUCCAUCCGACACCGCCGAAUGAAUACAUGAGAGUGCCUUUGCUUCUCUUGCCGCUUCCUCGUCACAUUUUUUGAUUUGAGCUGCGGUUGGAUUUUGUGGAAGAAGAGUUAAUUCAACAUCACUUUCAAUUGUUUUCCACAGACUCAUAGCUUUCAAAUAUGAUUUCAUUUUGAUAGCCCAUGAAUUAUAGUGAUCUCCUUUGAAUGUAGGUAUCGAAAGAGAAAAAUUAUUUGACGUCAUUUGAAAAAAAAUACAAAGAUUGCUUAUCUAUAUAUAUUUUUUCAUAACUUCACAAGCCCUUUAAACCUAGCUCUGAUGCCAAGUGUAGAAUAUAAAACUGAUUCUUAUUAAUUCUUGUUCCUCUAAAAAAGAGAUUACAUGCUAUAUUUAAAACAAACGUACUUGACUCCUAACAAUACUCUACUACUUCUAAUAAAUCUCCUAAAAUAAGAUAGACUCAAUACCUCCUACAAACUCUCUAGAACUCCAACAAUCAUCCAACUACUUCAAUCUAGAAUUAAUCCUCAAAAUAAAUAACUAAACAAAUAAUAAUAAUAACUAAAUUUAAGAUUAUUCCAACAGGUACUACGGUAUGUAAACAACUAAAGAUCCAUUACUAUAGGUAAGUACACUACAUAACUUAAAUUUCAAAUAUUGGUCUCUCGUACUCCAAACACUGAUUAUUAAGAACUCUGUCACUUAUUAUUGAUACUACUAUAAAAAUAUCAAUUUCGUGAUUCACAACAAUGCAUGUUGAUAGGAAUCGGCAAACAACUUAUUGUAUACUUUGACAACCAUCACUACUUUCUCCCGAGGAUAAAUAUAUCGAUCAUCAACAGAAAAAGAGAAGGCAACAAGUUGUUACUUCAAAUUAAGCACAAAUUAAAUACUUUAAAGUCCGCAAUCUCCUCCCAUCCGAUCGAUAGUGACUUCACAGUGAUGGCAAAGAAAACAAUAAGUGAACUCUAUUAUAAAAUUUAUCUCGAAUAUUAAACCAAUUAUCAGUAGAUUUGCAUUUUUUAGUCUAAAAAAAAUAUUAAAUACAAAUCGAUAUAAAUUUUCAGAUUGACGAACCAAUAUUAAAUGACAAAUCACACGGUGCUAAACGGGUAAAAAAAUCUUAAUACAAUAUAGAUCUCUUAUUGUCCCAUAUAUUCUUUUAAAAGAAAUCGUGAUUGAAAGUACAAUUAUACAAAUAAUAAAAUAAUAUAGAUCUCUUAUUGUUGGAUAUAUCUUUUUAAAGGAAUCAUGAAUACAAAUACAAUUAUACAGAUAAUAAAAUUGUGAUUAUUAUUAUUAUUAUUAGAUAGGUGUUGAUCAAAAGAGUUAUUGGAUACCUGGAUGGUCAAUGUUAUAAACUCCAACUUUGUUUAAACAUGAUAAGAAAAAAGAGAAUUAUUAUUUUCAGAAUUGUUAUUUAUUUAUUUGUAAUAUAUUAUAGAUUGAGGGAAAUGUAAUAUAUAUGACUGUAUUUGAUAGUGCACUCAAUUAGAUAUAAGCAUUGCUAAGUCUCACAAUAUCCAACAGAUAUUGUCGCCAUAACAAAAACAUACAUAAUCCAAACAAAAUACCAACUGAAAAUGUCAGAAAAGAUAAUAUAUAUAAAUGUAGAAGAUGAUAUAGUGAUGUCAAGGCCCCUAUUAACAUGUUGGAGGAGAUGUUAUCGUGAGGUUAGUCUAUUCGCAACAGUGGUGGAUCCAGCUCCGAAAGUAAGAGAGGUCAUAUAUAAUAUUUUGUAACGAUGAUUAAUUAGAAUGAACCUAGGAAAAAAAUAAUAUUCAUAUCAUAUAAAUUUUUACCGUUGCACAACAUAAAUAAGUCAUGUCCACUUUGAUCAGAAUGGUGGAUACCAAAAUGAUAACAUAGAAAAUAAAAACAAUUAAUAUUCAGAUUAUGUAAUUUUUUACCGUUACACUACAUUAUGUAAAAUUAAAAACAAAAAUUUAAGGGGAUCGACUGACCCUCUAUCCACCCUAAUUCGCAAACAAAAUUUUAAGGGCAUCGACUGACCCUCUAUCCACCCUGAUUCGCAAGUUGCUUAGUGGAUGAAGGAAAAUUCCAAACUCAAUAUGCUUGAAAUCGGGUGUGUUCUCCUUGAUGGCAAUCCUGAUGCGAGAUCCAAAGCAUCUCUCUGCUUCCCAUUCGCAUAACCUGAGUGGAAGUUGAGGCAAGAACUUAUAGUUUUUCAUGUAGCAGAGCAUAGCUUCCGAGAGCUAACGAAGGAACCAUGGCAAGAUAAGUAGGAUCGAGUACCUUCUCCUCCCCUCCAUAAAUAUUAUGCUUAGCAAAUUCGUGACAUUGUAAUUCUACAGCUCCAGAAUCACUGUUCGACUUGGGAAUUGGAGGGGACCGGAAAGUGUCUCGAACAGGCUGAUAUGCAUCAUGCGAACCCAUCACUGUUGUCUUAAUUUUCGCAUAUAUCUGAGGGCUUAUAGGCUGUCCGACUUGGGAAUUGGAGGGGACCGGAAAAUGUCUCGAACAGGCCGGUAUGCAUCAUGCGAACCCAUUAUAGGCUUCUUGCUAAAUCUAACAACAUUGCCUUCAAUUAAAUUGAAGAACCAGACUCCAUGAAUCCGAGGUUUUGGUGUUAAGCCCCUGAUUCCGGUGAUAACAAUUUCUUUUCCCUGAGGAAUCUGAUCUGAAAGUACAAAUUUAAUAAAAAUUUGUCAGUGAAUUUCAACACAUAUUAGUAUUUUAAGAAUUGUAAAAUGUCCUUCUAAAUUUUAUAAGAUACAAAUGUUCUUCUAAAUUUUGUCUCUCACAUUUUAUAUUGUAAGUUAGGAACGGAUCUUGGGCUAAGUUAGACUGGACCUAACCCAAGUCAAAAUCUUUCAUUCGAUUUAACAUAUAAGCCUCGCUUAGGUCUUGUCCCUAUUUAAAUAUGUAUAAGCUUGUCAGUUAUAUAGUCUAAGUCUCUUGUACAUUCCACAACACAACAAUAUAGAUUUUGAAAAAAUAAAAAUAACUAGCAGAAGAAUAAGAACUCCCAAAUAAAAAAUUAGAUAAGUAGAAAAAGAAAAAGAACUCCUAAUAGAAAAUCUGGCAACUAAUACUCCAAUCUUUCAAAUUUCAAAAAAGUAAUUUUCGAAAUUUCAUCUUCCUUAAUCUCCAUUGAUUCGUGAACACGAUUAAGUUAAAUAAACAAUUUUACUUUUUCAAUACUUUUAGUAGCUUGAUAAUUCCUCAUAUAAUUACAAAGUGUAUCUUAAACAAAAGAGUUGAUGAAUUUCAAUGUAUGGGAAAAACAAAACCAAAAUUAUUAGUGAGAGUUUUUCUUAUACUCUCUGUGCUAAUUAAUUCUGACACUAAAAUAUAAUAUAAACUACGUGUAUUUUUAAUAUUAUCAACAAUUUAUCAUUUUUAAUUUGAACUCCACCUACUCUAUAAAACAAAUAUAUAAAUACCUGAGAAAAUAAGUUGGUUGAAUGGAAGUCCCUUCUUCACGAAAUUCGACGGGAAUACUGUUAAGAAAGUAAAAUGCCUCUAAUUUUAGUUCAUGGAAAAAUUUAAUUAGCAAUAACCAUCUAUUGAUCCUUAAAUUAGAGGCCCACUUUGAAACAAAUUCUUCAAGCACUAGUUUCCCCCUCAAUUCUUUACAUUGAAGUUGGGCACGGAGAUUAAGAAAUAUGUAUAAAGUAGUGGAAAAGAGAAAGAAAAGUGGGUGAAGUGGUGAGACCCAUUGAUAUUUAAUAUAUAAAAAGAAGAUAGUGGAGUAAAAGUAGUGUGAAAAGGAAGAAAAAGUGGGAAAGUGGUGGGGCUCGUUAGCUAUUUUAGGAAAGUUUUGUAAUGUAAAGAAAUGAGUGGGACGUCCAAAAGAAGAAACCGUAAAGAAUUUAGAGGGACAGAGGGAGUAAUAUAGUAAUUAACUUUUCUAGUUAAACUAACGAGUGAUGGGACUGAAAUGCAUCACCUAAUCCAUGGGGUGUGACCAUGGUGAAAAUGUAGCUCCUCGAGCAGUGAGAAUCACAUUGACCUCUGUUGAAAAAAUAAUCGAAAAACAAAUCACGUAUUAAAUUUAAUGGGAAAUCAAAGACAUACGACUCCAGACAAGGUCAGUCAAAUGGUUAUAUAUACAAGAUUAUCACAAACUAACUAGUGUGAUUAUAGAAAGGGAAGGAAUAGUAUCUAACAUCAUCUCAUCAGCACAAACUACAUUUUGCACAUUUUCAUUGGUCAUUUGAAGAAAAUACAAUCUCCGAUAAUUUAACAUUAAAAUAUUUUAUACCAAAAGAUUUUUUUUUAAAUAUAUCAUAAAACUUUAUUUUAUACUUAAGAUGCGAGAUAAUAAAAAAAUAAAUAAAUAAACAAAGCGGAGAGAAUAUUAUUUUUAAUUAUGAAAAGAAAAUUUAAAAAUAAUACAAUAAAUUAUACAGUAAAAACACUUAAAAUGAAUGUCUAGCCUCAAAAGUCAAAACUAAUUCCCGUAUCAGACAGAACUAUACAGUAUAAAUAUUAUUUAUAAAUUAUAAUACAUAUAUAAAUAUAUAUAUAUAUGUACAUAUAUACACGUGUGUUUUAAGAUAAUAUAUACAUAUAUUUAUAUUAAUAUAUCAUGAACCGUAACUAAGUAAUAUAUAUAGAAUUUAGAUUAUAGUUUGGUAUAGGUCGGAGGAUACUUUAAUUAGGUUCAAUUCUUUUUACAUACCUUAGAUUUCAUCCAAAAGAGUAGUGUGAAAUAUACUAUCAAAAUCAUAGACUCGCAGCCUUGGACUCUUUCAUCGAUCUAAUACCGUAAAGAUACAAAGAGAUAACAUUUAAUAUUAUAAAAUAAUUUUUAAAGAUUUAAUACGUAAUUUUUUUUUUCUUUUUCUCAUUUCUUGCGGUUUUAUAACCGAAACCGAACCGACUAAAACCAAACCGAGGUUUUUGAAACCGAAACCGAUCCGACGGUUCGGUUGCGGUUUCGGUUUUUAAUUUUAAAAACCAAAAAUUUGCGGUUUCGGUUCCGAUUUUAUCUUAAAACCGCCCCAAACCGAACCACGCUUACCCCCAAAUAUACUUUGACAAAUUGGUUGCUGAUACUAAAAAAUCAGUAACAGUUAUUUAACUACUAGCUCAUCAACACCAGUAAAUAAGAGAGAGUAUCCUCAUACUCUAUUAGCUCUUUCUUGGUUUCCCAACUCCAUGCUCUCCAGGCACUUCUCUAGAUUGUGUCCAAGUCCUUUUAACAGUGGGAGACGGUAUUUAGCUAUAUACAUUAUUAUAUUUCCAAUUGCUUCUACGUGUUCUUUUUGAAAAAAUUACUCAUAUUAUGAAAAUGUUAUAUACUUUUUUCGUUAUAUGUACCCUUAAUUAUUAAAUUUAAAAUUGAGAGUACAUAUAAAUUUGUUUCGAAAGAAGAGCAGGACAUAUAUUAUUUUGAAAGAAGACAUGUAAAAAGGGAAUGAGUGAGUCUAGCGGUCAUCGUCUUUUAAAAGUGUGCAGUGUAACUGAUUUCUCUUCUUAAUUUAUUGUGGUCAUCAUUUUCAUUUUCAUUUCCUUCAUCUGAUUUUGUGAAGAACAUGUAUUGAUUCUUUGUUUCUUAUAAAUAAGUCAAAAAAAUUGAAGGCAAUAAGACCACAUUACAAAUUAAAUAAUUAUUGUAAUUUGUUACCUGUCUGGACUCUUUGGCAUAGGUUCAUUUGCAGCGAUAUAUAAAGAAGACUUAGCUUGAAUUACUUCAGGAUGUGCAAAAGAAUUAAUAUUAGUGGGUUUGCAUUAACAGGAGUAGAUGAAAGUGAAACCAUGAAAGUUUUGCCAGAAGUGGUGGAGCGGAUCCUGAUGGUAAUCAACAUGGUGAUCUUUGGGGCCGUUUGGGUUAGCUUAAAAGAAGUGACUUCUUGCUUAUAGUAAAGAAGUGGAGUAGAAGUGAGAAGUAAAUAAGUUAAUAAAGUGUUUGGAAAAGAAGCAGAAGCUGUGAAAUAGAAGCUAGCCUUCUCAGCUUCUUAAAAGGGCUUCUACUUCUUUGCACAAACGGGUCAAGAGAAGCAGAAGCCAGAAGUAGCUUCUGCUUCUCUUGGCCAAACAGGCCCUUUAUGUUACGUUUAACGUAUUCUCGAUAAUUUCUUGUCUUCAUUGGUGAUAUCUACUUUUCCUCAUAUGCCAUUUGGCCAUUUUUUGUAGUUUAAAUUCUGAUAAACUCUAAUUUUAUUGUGAAUACUCUAGGUCCGAGAAGACCCUAUCUUCAGAAGAGAGGGUCCUGACAUUCAUGUUGUUGCCAUUUUAAGUAUUACUCGGGUAUUUACUAUUCAAUUUUCUUUGUUCGACGUUCUUGCAACCCUGGGCAACACAUGACUUAGUACCUUUACCCUUGUCAAACUAUUGACUAUUUAUGUAUGAAUCGAAGUUCUUACUAGAGUUUUUGUAGGAAAUGAGCUAGUAUGAAUACAUUAUUAUUUGGAUACUUACAAUGAAUAAUGAUCUGAGAAAAAAGAAACAAUUUAGUGAUUCUGCAAAUUAAAGUUGAAUGAAUGUAGCCAAAUGAUUAAAAUGUAUGGUUCCUGAUUUAUGACUCAAAACAAAAAAGUAUAUUUACUGAAAUAGUUGAUAUUAAACUAACGGUGGAUGCUAAAGAGUUGUAUGCAUUUAAGUAUUUGUUUAAUAUUUUGAUCAGUUAAAAAAAUUUGUGCAGAAUAUAUACUGUAUAUUAGAGAAAUGUAGAUAUUAAGAUAUGUAAUACUUGUAAAAGAACCUUUAGAGGCUUUUUUUUUUAAUUAAAACAAAAUAUUUGCAGGUUCCAUGAAUAAAUUUUAUGUCAUUGCUUCCAUGUAGAACCCUAGUUUACUUUAUCAUUCUGGACACAUUUGUAGGAAGAAUAUGAUUGGAUACAGAGAAUCCGAUGCAAAGAUAGCUUUGGAUAAUUAAAAUGAUAACUAAAUAUUUUCAACUUCUAGCCGAUGCAGGUCAAUUGAAGAAACCGAGUGACUGGACUGCUUGGAUUUAUUUAUAAUGUAUAAAUGGAUAUUGGUAAGAAUCCACAUAGAUGCAAAGGAAACAGCAGUAAAUUGGUUUAUAGCAUCUUGCCUCAGUAUUUCAAGCUGCAAGGGCUUUUACCUAGCUCGGUGCUUCAAAGAAUAUAAAUAUGUGGCAUCAUAAAGACUCUGUGAAUUUUGUUUUGAUAUUUUUUUGGAAUUUGACCCAGAGGCAGCGUGAAUUGAUUGAGGAGUUCUCAAAAGAAGAGCAUGGAGAAGAUGAUAAAAGGGAUGAGAAAAGGAAUGCAGCUGGCGCAUCAGGUUAACAAAGCUUUAUAUAAUUCCUCUGCUUCAUUAUAGUACCUAGCCGAAGCAGAAGUAAAAGCAAUUUUUUGGGGAUAUCGGAGGCAAAUAUAUUCCUCACACCCAACAUGGAGAGUUUUGUAGGAGUAAGAUUCAUGCAUUGUAACCUUUUCCUUCUGUUCUGAGAGGUAUGUGUAAUGACUUUUAUUAAUCAAAAGAUAAUUUAUAUAAAUUGCUAGUACCAGAGAAUGGCAAGUCUUAUAUGAUAGGUGAU
Molecule: long non-coding RNA, 29843 nt
Filed under: Daucus carota (carrot)
Lineage: Eukaryota; Viridiplantae; Streptophyta; Magnoliopsida; Apiales; Apiaceae
Description: long non-coding RNA (DCAR_LNC006149)
Source: RNAcentral